This 207-nucleotide ribosomal RNA is filed under the name uncultured bacterium. RNAcentral's name for it is "partial 16S ribosomal RNA". It matches the Rfam family "Bacterial small subunit ribosomal RNA", at positions 568 to 774 of the family's 1533-position model. The record is from RNAcentral.
AGUCUAGGCGGUCAGGUAAGUGGGAUGUGAAAGCUCUCGGCUCACCCGAGAAUGUGCAUCUCAAACUGCCUGGCUUGAGUAUGGGAGAGGAUGAGGGAAUUCCUGGUGUAGCGGUGAAAUGCGUAGAUAUCAGGAGGAACACCGGUGGCGAAGGCGCUCAUCUGGCCCAAUACUGACGCUGAAGUUCGAAAGCUAGGGGAGCAAACG